RNAcentral lists this ribosomal RNA (642 nucleotides) under Stenogorgia casta. RNAcentral describes it as "Swiftia casta partial 28S ribosomal RNA". Lineage: Eukaryota; Metazoa; Cnidaria; Anthozoa; Malacalcyonacea; Pterogorgiidae. The record is from RNAcentral.
AAACCGUUGAAAGGGAAGCGAAYGGAGUUAGCAAUUCGCCCUGCCAGAUUCAGCUGCUCGUGCUUCGCGACGUGCGCGCUCUCGAUCCGCAUGGACGAGACGUGUGUGGGUGCGAUGUGCAAACGGCGCACUUCUGGCGAGCGAGCGUCAGCGUCGGUUGUCGACGGGGGACAAGGACACAGGGAAGGUGGAUCAGCCAACUUGGCCGAUUGUUAAGCCUUGUGAUCACAUAGCCCGACGGCGACCGUGGCUCUGCGACGCGUGCCUGGCUGGCGACUCGAACGGAUCGGUCCGGCAUGUCGACUGGGCGGACGAGACUUCUCUGUGCGCUCAAACUGCUGCCGGUCGAACGGACGAUGUUCGCACACUACGCGUCGAGGAUGCUGACGACCAUACGGCUCCAUCCGACCCGUCUUGAAACACGGACCAAGGAGUCUAACAUGUGCGCGAGUCUCCGGGUGAUCGAAACCCGUGGGCGCAAUGAAAGUAAAGAUCGUCCUAGACGAUUGAGGUGAGAAGCAAAUCCACGGAUUUGCGGCAUCAUCGACCGACCUAUUCUGCUCUCAGAAAGGUUUGAGUAAGAGCGUACCUGUUGGGACCCGAAAGAUGGUGAACUAUGCCUGAAUAGGGUGAAGCCAGCGG